GAUGAAGAACGCAGCGAAAUGCGAUACGUAAUGUGAAUUGCAGAAUUCAGUGAAUCGUCGAAUCUUUGAACGCAUAUUGCGCUCUCUGGUAUUCCGGAGAGCAUGCUUGUUUGAGUAUCAGUAAACACCUCAACUUCCAUAUCUUUUUUGAAAUGGGAGUUGGACUUGAGUGAUCCCAACGCUUUUCCUCACCGAAAAGUGGCGGGUUACUUGAAAUGCAGGUGCAGCUGGACUUUUCUCUGAGCUAUAAGCAUAUCUAUUUAGUCUGCCUAAAAACAGAUUAUUACCUUUGCUGCAGCUAACAUAAAGGAGAUUAGUUCUUGUGCUGACUGAUGCAGGAUUCACAAAGACAGGCUUCGGCCGACUUUGUAAACUCGAUCUCAAAUCAAGUAAGACUACCCGCUGAACUUAAGCAUAUCAAUAAGCGGAGGA
RNAcentral lists this unclassified non-coding RNA (432 nucleotides) under soil metagenome. RNAcentral describes it as "partial contains 5.8S ribosomal RNA, internal transcribed spacer 2, and large subunit ribosomal RNA". The stretch from base 1 to 120 matches the Rfam family "5.8S ribosomal RNA", at positions 35 to 154 of the family's 154-position model. The record is from RNAcentral.